GUUCGCUGCCGCAUAGGCAGCUCAGAAA
Non-coding RNA from Kushneria marisflavi, 28 nucleotides. NCBI's taxonomy places the organism in Bacteria, Pseudomonadati, Pseudomonadota, Gammaproteobacteria, Oceanospirillales, Halomonadaceae. The record is from Rfam.